AUGCUGAUGGUCGUUGAGUUUGGAUCUUCACCGUUCGAUGUUGGCAUGGGACAUGAGGAGAGCGACGACGAGUUGUCAUUAGUCUUCUAUGAAGCUGUGCAGCAGUGCAGACACAAGAAGGAACUCGGCGGACAAUGGUUCCGCCACACUAUUCCUUUCCUCGUGGAGGUGACAGGGCACCGGUUUAGAGUUUGGUUCGAGUACACGGUUGACUUCAGCUUCAUGUGCAUGGAAGGCGCCGUUCGAUGCUUCAACGAGAAGGACCGUGUCAUGAGUUGGAACCAGCCAGUGUGGAGGCUGCUGGUCUCUCUUCAAGUUUGGGUACGUGCACUGGUGAACAGGAGCCGUAGUGCGUGCUGUCCCAUGGUACAAAAACAAGAGAUCAUCUAUUGA
This 393-nucleotide ribosomal RNA is filed under the name Triticum aestivum (bread wheat). Its description in RNAcentral is "partial small subunit ribosomal RNA". Lineage: Eukaryota; Viridiplantae; Streptophyta; Magnoliopsida; Poales; Poaceae. The record is from RNAcentral.